GGGAGGGAGCCUGGGAAUGAACCUGGAGGGCUGUUGGAUGUGGGUGGGAGUACUAUGGAACAGUUUUUUAGGGGGAGGGGGGGAGGGAGGGAA
Non-coding RNA from Chelonoidis abingdonii (Abingdon island giant tortoise), 93 nucleotides. The record is from RefSeq and is a predicted model, not a curated record. Lineage: Eukaryota; Metazoa; Chordata; Testudines; Testudinidae.